Molecule: ribosomal RNA, 301 nt
Filed under: uncultured bacterium
Lineage: Bacteria
Description: partial 16S ribosomal RNA
Rfam family: Bacterial small subunit ribosomal RNA
Source: RNAcentral
CAGUCGCCGCGGGAAUACGAAGGGGGCUAGCGUUGCUCGGAAUGACUGGGCGUAAAGGGCGCGUAGGCGGCGAUCAAAGUCAGGCGUGAAAUUCCUGGGCUCAACCUGGGGGCUGCGUUUGAUACUUGAUUGCUAGAGUGGGGAAGAGGGUCGUGGAAUUCCCAGUGUAGAGGUGAAAUGCGUAGAGAUGUGGAGGAACACCAGUGGCGAAGGCGACUCUCUGGUCUGUAACUGACGCUGAGGAGCGAAAGCGUGGGGAGCGAACAGGAUUAGAUACCCCGGUAGUCCCUGUCUCUUAUAU